GAUAGUUGUAGUGCGGUGCUGU
This 22-nucleotide unclassified non-coding RNA is filed under the name Chlamydomonas reinhardtii. Its description in RNAcentral is "small RNA Cre_1627". The record is from RNAcentral. Lineage: Eukaryota; Viridiplantae; Chlorophyta; Chlorophyceae; Chlamydomonadales; Chlamydomonadaceae.